This is a non-coding RNA of Rattus norvegicus (Norway rat), 20109 nucleotides long. NCBI's taxonomy places the organism in Eukaryota, Metazoa, Chordata, Mammalia, Rodentia, Muridae. The record is from RefSeq and is a predicted model, not a curated record.
UUGGCAGGGUUUCUCUGCAGACCAGGUUGGCCUCCAAUUUGUGAUCUUUCCUGCCUCUGUCUCCUUAAGCAAAUUCUGCUGACACGUUUUAAGAGUCCUAGAAAAUGAGAUAUUGGGCUGGAGAGAUGGCUUAGCAGUUAAGAGAACCGACUGCUCUUCCAGAGGUCCUGAGUUCAAUUCCCAGCAACCACAUGGUAGCUCACAACCAUCUGUAAUGGGAUCCGAUGCCCUCUUCUGGUGUGUCUGAAGACAGAAACAGUGUGUACUCACAUAGAUAAAAUAAAUAAAUCUAAAAAAAAAGGAGAUACUGCCUUCAGGGGAACUAGAAAUUAUAGUACACUGUCUACACAGUCUAUCACUGAAUUUAGGAUAAAAAGAAAAGUACAUACGAUGUCUAAAACUAAGAGUACAGGAGAUAAAAAUAAUUGCAUAAAGUUGAUUAGGAUAAAUUACCUUUAGUAGACAUAUUUAGGAAUAUAAAAUUAAAUGACAGCAAAAUAAAGUAGAACACACUGAGAUUGUAGGUCUCCAGGAGAUAAAAGUAAUUUUUCAUACAUAUGAAUGUUUUACUAUAGUUAUAUCUGUGUACCACAUUCAUGCCUGAUGCCCACAGAAACCAAAUGAGGGCAUCAGACCUCCGGGACUAGAGCCAUAUUCCCAGACCCCUUUAGUGUUUUCUUUUUGAGGCAAGGUUUCACAUAUAUUCCAGAUCAGCUUUGAGCUUGUGAUCCUUUUCCCUCAGCUGGUGGUAGCCAAAAUAAACUGUAGUAUCAAAAGGAUUAAAAUAGUUAAGAAUAAACGUAAGGCCAGGGAGAUGGCUUAGCUGAUUAAGUGACUACCAGGCAAGCUGGAGGACCUGAGCUCAAAAUUCUAGAAUUUAUAUAAAAAUCUAGGUUCAGUAGCAUAAGCUUGUAUCAUAGCACCGGAUAGGCAGAGACAGGCAGAUUCCUGGGGCUUGCUUGGCCAUUGCCGAAUACCAGAUUCAGUGAGAAAACCUGUCUCAAAAAGUAAAUUGGGUAUUAAUUGAGGAAGACACCAGGUGUCAACCAACCUCAGUCUGAUUCCACAUACUAUACAUGUUUGUCACCCAAUUACACCCUGCCCAAUUCCUUCAUGGACACACAAAGAACAAAACUGGGCUGUUGAGGUAGUUCACCAGAUUAAGUCAUGUGCCUCAAACCAGUUCAAUCCACACAGAGGAGAAAACUGACUUCUACAAGUUGUUCUCUAACCUGCAACAUUUGCUGUUGCACACAUACAUGCAAAAAGAUAAAUGCCCAAGCAUAGUUAGCCAGCACAAAAUGGAGCCCCUGUUUUGUUACGGAUGUUUUAUUAUUUUCUGUGUUAUUUUUUCAUUAGAAAAGAGAGAAGUGAGAAGAUGAAGUUGGGUGGAUAGGAAGGUGGGGAAGAUCUGGGAGGAGUUAGGGAAGGUAAAAUAAAUGAUCAUGAAACAAUUCAUCUCACAUAUUCCAGUUGGAACAUGUUAGGUUCUAAGUAUUACUCUAAGUGGUCUACAAAUUCAGUGUGAUGCUCAACAAAAUUCUAAUGACUUUUUAAGGAACAAAAAAAAUUUUAAUUUUAAAAUUUACAUGAAUCUUAAGGGAACCCCAAUAGCUAAACAACCUUUAAAAUGGACAAAACACAUAAAUACAAAAUAUACAAAUCUUUUAAAAAAUGGACAUAAGUACAUAAAUUUAUCUUGAAUAGAUAUUAAGUGAAUAGCAACAUAGCCUAUGAAAACAUGGAAAAAAAGUCUACUAAUCAUAAAAGAAAUGCAAAAUCAAAAAGUACGAUAAGGUAUUUUCUCACAUCCACUGGAAUGAGUUUUAUAAAAACAAGUGUUUGAGGCAGCAAUGGAAGUUCAAGAAAUUAAAAAUAAACAUUUGAUCCAGAAACCCAAUCAAGAACAGUGUGCAAGGUGACUACUUAUAUAUUUAGUACUAUUAACAAAAGCCAAGAAGUACACACAACCCAAAGUGUUCACACCAAGAGAAGGAGUAGCAUAUGUUUAAUUUUUUUUUUCUUUUCUAUUUUUCGGAGCUGGGGACCGAACCCAGGGCCUUGCGCUUGCUAGGCAAGCGCUCUACCGCUGAGCUAAGUCCCCAACCCCAUGUUUAAUUUUUUUUAAAGAUUUAUUUAUUAUUUUAUGUAUAUGAGUACACUGUAACUGUCUUCACGCACACCAGAAGAGGACAUCAGAUCCCAUUACGGAUGGCUGUGAGCCACCAUGUGGUUGCUGGGAAUUGAACUCAGGACCUCUGGAAGAGCAGCCAGUGCUCUUAACCACUGAGCCAUCUCUCCAGCCCCCAUGUUUAAUUUUUAAAAGGAAAUUCUACUGUAUGGUUGCAACAUGGAUGAAUUUUAAGGACACUAUGGUAAGUGAAUAAAACCAAUUUCACACCAAUGUAAAUUUGUUAUAAUUUUUCAAAAUAGCAAAAGCAAAUGCGUAUUUAGUAUCCAGCUAUAAAAAUUUAUAGAAACUAGAAAUUGUUCCAACAUAAGAUAUAUAAUGAUGGAAACAAACUACUUUAUAAAAUUUUAUCUUUUUCAAGUAAGUAAACACACUGGACAGAAGUGGAAGGAAAUUUCAGCUAAAAGCUAUAAGCAUACUAGGCUUUUCUGACUCUGUCUGUUGGACCACUGGAGUCUAAAACCAUACAAAUUAAAGUCGUAGGUAGAUCUUCAAGUUGCUAUCAUUCUGUAAGGUGGUGAAGAUCUCCAGUAUGUCCUGCUUUCUUCCAGGGAAUUUUGCUAAAACAGACCCCCCCUACACCUACACCCCAAAAUAAGUGAGAAAAAAAAAAAACCCAACCCAAAACUCCAAACUGAACAUUUGUCUGUCAAUGUAGCUGCAUUAGCAUCUUUUGCCAGCUGCUAACAAGUGGUUACAAAAGCCUAUCAUACUUUUGGCAUGCUAGUUCUGAAAGAAUGGGCAGUUCAGAAGUGGUAGGAUCCAAUUUUUGUUUGUAUGUAGUGAAUGUUGCACAAAUAACAUUUUCUGUACUCCAGAGGGGGGUUUGUGGGUGUGCGUGAGUGAUUGACAAGGUUUUAUUACUAGCCUGGACCUCACUUUGUAAAAUCAGACUACCCUGGAACUCCCAAAGAUCUGACAGCCUCUUCCUCUAAGCCCUGGAAUUGGUGUGCCCCACCACCUUUUUAAGGGAGAACUAUAUGAAAACUUUUCCUCUUAGUGGUAACUCUGGGUAAAGAAAAGAAAAAUCUUUAACUACAAGACAACUCCUGGGAAAUCACUUAUGACCAAGAUCUAAACAACCAGUAAUUUAGCUGAACAUAAUCUUACAUUGCCAUUAUUUUAUGAGCUACAAGCUAUCUUCUCAGAAACAUUGCAGAUGUGGUUCCAACCAACGGGAAAGCUCAAAAGUAAAUUAUAAGAACCACAAUUCCCAAAAAGAAGAUAGUUAUAAUGAACAGGAGUUGGCUGAAUUAUUAACAUUUAAAUAAAUUAAAGAAUAUCAAAUCUAAGAUCAAGGAAUAAGAGAUGAACCAAAAAUAACGAAGUGGGCCAAGAUGGCACAAUGCCAUCUUCCACCAAAACCUGACAGCUUGAGUUCUAACCCUGGGAUCCACGUUAAAAGGAGAACUGAUCCCCCCCUCCCCCAUUAAGGCCCUCUGAUCUCCACACAUAUACAAACAAUAAUUAAGCUUAAUUAAAAAACAUUAAAAAAAUAAAUCAGAGGGCUGGGUGUGGUGACACAUACCUUUAAUCCCAGCACUAAGUAAGGAAGCAAAAAGAAGAGGAUCCUUGUGAGUUCCAGACCAGUAUGGUGUAUGUAUCAAGCUUCAGGGCAAUCAGAACUACAUGAAUAAACCUUGUCUCAAAAAGCCAAAGAAUUAAAAACAAAACAGAGGAAGAUGGGUAUGGGUUCUGCACUAUGUAAUCCUCAGUAUGUGAGUGGUUGAAAAGAGGACUGCCACAAAUUCAAGGCUAAUAUGAGACAUUAUGAGUUCAAAGCUGGUCUUGGGAGCUGUAUCAUUAAGAUACUGUCUCAAAAAAAAAAAAACAAAAAAAAACAAAAAAGGGCCAGUGAACUUUUAAAGGAAUCAAGCAACUGUCAAAAAUGCAGCAUAUAAAAAACUGCAAUUAGAAACCCAGGUUCAGGGGCUGGAGAAAUGGCUCAGUGGUUAAGAGCACUUGCUGCUCUUCCAGAGGCCCUAAGUUCAAGUCCCAGCAACCACAUGGUGGCUCACAACCAUCUGUAAUGAGAUCUGAUACCUUCUUCUGGUGUGUCUGAAGACAAGCUACAGUGUACAUAUAUAAAUAUGGUAAGUAAAUAAAUCUUAAAGAAAAAAAAAAAGGAAACCCAGGUUCACAUAACUGACUAUACACAGUUGGCUAAAAAUUAGUGAAAUGGAAAAUACCUACAAUUACCCAGAAAGUAUAAAAGCAAAGAAAUAAACAAAACCCACUGAUGGUAAAAAAAAAAAAAAAAAAAAUCCUGGAGGACAGAACAAAAAAAUGUUAUUUUAACCACUUAAUAUUACAUAUAAAGAAAAACAAGAAAUAUUAAAGAGUAUUUUUUUUGCAAUAACAAUGUUUAGAUUUAGGAGCCCUAACAAUCCACAGGCAGAAGUAAACACAACAGAAUUCACACCAACACACCUGGAAAAAAUAUGGUAAGCAUCAAAAGCAAUGAGGAAAUCUAAGGCACAGGAAAAACUAACAAUAGACUGAAAACUACUGAAGCGUGAAGGUAGCAUACUGAAGAUGCUCUGAGACUGGAGUUUUCCACUCCUGUGAAAACAAAGAGUGUGUGUGUGUGUGUGUGGGGGGGCUUUAUGAAGAAUGAGUUAACUGCGAAGGUAGAAAGCCAAUUUAAAUAACUCAUCAUAGAAGACAACAAUUGUGCCCAGCAACAUCAAUACAGACUAUAUAAUAGCCCCAAAAGUUGUAUUUGAAGUCCUUUAAACUACUAUAAAUAACUGAACAGCUCAAAAAAGAAACAAAGUAUUAGUAAUACUAAAAGCUGUUAGGUAAUAUAAAGUGCUUUGUAACUGAAUGCACCAAAAGCCAUUCCUCAAACACUGACAUUUCUUCAGGGAAUGAGGACUAUUCACACAAAUGGAGAAAAGAAAAACAGCCUCUGUAAGGGAGAGAUGGCUCAGUGGGUAAAGGCUCUUGCACUGGAGUCUGAUCGCCUGAGUUCGAUUCCCAGGUCCUACAUGAUGGAGAGUUUGCUCUUGUUUUUUAUCUCUGGCUCUACCAAAUGUCUCAGAAGUCUGUAACUCAUCCUUUUGUUAUUUAUUCACUCAAAACAUGUUCCCACACCAGGCACUACACUUUCUCUAGUUUUAUACAUAUUCUGCUUUAGCAGUUGAUCACCAAACAUGAGGAUGAUAGCCAGAUUUACUCAUCUAAACCUUAUUCCUUUCCUAAGCCCUAUUUUCAAACACCUAAGGAAUAAUGGCUAACACUGAUAAGAACUGUGAAUUAUUUUGCAAAUAAUAUUGAAUCUCCAAAAAAAAAUUUAAUUAAUUAGAAAGUGUAGAAGCCUCCUAAGAUGAUGGUAACAGUCUGUUUAAAGUGAGGGCUAUGCAAGUAUACUUAUUUUGACAGAUUACCAAACUAUCAUGUGUGCAAUUUUCUUUUUACAUAUACAAUGUUUCAAUAGGUGUUUUGUUUUUGUUAAGUUUUUUUUGGAGACAAUGUUUCUCUAUGUAGCCCUGGCUAUCCUAGAACUCUGAGAUCCACCUGGCCAAGGCGUGUACCACCAUUUAUAAGUAUUCUUAAAGAUUUUUAUUAUUUAAGACAUAUUUUAAAAUAUUUUAUGUAUAUGGGUGUUGCCUCAGGAGGACAGAAGAGAGUACUGGAUCCCUGGGAACUAGAGUUUGGGAGGUUCUAAGCCACUACUAUGUGAGUUCUAGGAACUGAACCCAGGUCCUUUGCAAGAGCAGCAAAUGCUUUUAACUGCUAAGCCAUCUCUCCAAACCUCUAUUUGGGUUAUUUAUACUUUAGGAAGCCAGAAUACUGUGUUGGAUCACCAGACUUAUAGGCAGUUGUGAGCCAGAUGAUAGGGGUGCUGUUUCACCUGCUGAGUAAGUUCUGUAGACUUCCAUGAAAAUGUUUUAAAAGCCAGGUAUGAUGGAUCACACCAAGCUGAACAGCAGGAUUAGCUUAAGUUUGAAGGUAGCUGGACUAGAUGAUGAGUUCCAAGUCAGCCUGGACCACAGAAUAAAACUGCUUUCCAAACAAAGUAAUACUUUUAGUCAUAGCUUCCAAUUUCCCAUUUUAGCCUUUCAUAAAAAGUCAAGAAUGGUGGUUGGAAGAUAGCUCAGCAAUUUAACAGCACCUAAUGCUCUUCAAGAAGAUCCAGGUUUGGUUUUCUGCACCCAUAUCAUACAGCUCAUGACCACUCUGUAGUUCCAGGGGGUCCAUCUGCUCUCCUUGGCCACCUGCUCAUUCUCUCUCAUAUUCAUAUUCAUAUUCAUAUUCAUAUUCUCUCUCUCUCUCUCUCUGCCCCUGCACACCAGUGAAUGUGCAUAUUCACAAUCUAAGUCUUAAAAGUUAAUAACUGUCACCAUAGCAUAGCUAUUUGUAUGAAACCACAUCUGUCUCUAUCUUUGAUUGCAAGUGUAAAACUCUCAGAGCAGAUUCCAAAAAUCAAGUACCAGUAUCAAGUGAAGUACCCUUUUCAAAUGCCUUUUAACACAGAGAAUAUUAAAAAAAAUCCAAAAAGCACAAUGUUUAUUUUAUUAAUUUGAUCUCUAUGCAUUAGAAGCACAGGACUUUAUCAAACAUGAAAAAAAUGCCAUCCUUGAAAGAUGACCUUAAUCUUUUGCUAUAACAGAAUGGUGACAUGAACAAUUUAUAGAUAGGGGCAGUGUUGACCCUUCAAUCUUUACUAAGUAGAUGAAAAAAUGUAAUUCUAACACUGCCAGUUACUGCAUUUCUAAGCCUAAGUAGACUCAUUUAUAAAUUUCACCCUCUAUCAUUCCUUAGUAAUAAUGUAGCCAGCUGUGUGACAAACCAACUACCUUUCAGCAUUCCAUAUACUAUACAAUCUAACUCAUCUACAUAAGCAUGGUUCUAUCUCUAAAGUUUUUAAUGAUCUAUCCAUCCUCUCAUUUUAUUUUUCCAAGUCCUUCUUAAAUCAUUCUUACAAGAUGUCCUAACUAGUUUUAGGAUAAUCAGUGCUUCAGUACAAUCACUGAGACCUCCUUAUCAAGUUACCUGGGCAUUUUCGGAAAUCCCAAGUCUAGAAAUAUAUUAAGUAUAUUCUAGAGUUAAUUUAACAGUUUUUAUUUCUUAACUUUUUCAUUGAUAUAACCUCUUUAUGACUAUUCUUUUUCUUAGUGAGCCUUGCAGAUUUCAUUAGCUUUAUUUCUAUCCAAUAGGUUUGCAGCUGUAUCUAAACAAGGGCAGUGCUGUGGAUAUAAUUAGUUAUGGAGCACCGGCUUACAUAAACAGGAGUUAUUUGUAAUCUAAUUUUAACUUAAUAAAACAUUGCUAUAACAGAAAUGUGAAUUUGUUUUGUUUAGUUGAGACAAAAUCUCCCUCUGUAAAUCAGGCUGGCCUUGAAUUUACUCAGGGUAGCUCUAGUACUGGGAUAGUAGUGUGUACACUACCAUCUCCAACUCAGUUCAUUUUUGUAUGAUUUAGCUACAGAAAAUUUACUGAACUUACUGGUUCUCAUUUUUGUGUGUGAUGAACUGAAUAAUCACACCAUCUGUAAAGAAAAUUUCUUUCUUCCCUACUGAAUUGACACUGAGACCUACCACUGAUACUAACACCUAUUUUAUAGUAAUCAUAUGGCAGACAUAAAUUGGGAAUCUAUAGAUUAAAUCUAGAAAUUAAAAAUCUAUAGCAUCGGUAGAACACACUGUGUUCUAGGCUAGGAAGUAUUGUACUUAAUCUUCACCUAAAGUAAAGGUAGAUAAAUCAAAUCUUAGAAAGUAAGUGACUUGGCAAAUGGAGCUUAGAUACAAAUUUAAGUUUAACUAAUUCCCAAUUCAAAUCAUUUUAAGACACCAUGCUACCACAAAGGCAAUGUAAAGCAUACCUACCCAUACACUUCAACAUUCUAUACAUGAUUAUUCUGGCUUACUCUACAAACCCCUUCCCCAUUAUACACUACAACUAAGGAUUACACUCUAGGCCUCAAACAUGGUAUACAAAUACUUACCAAGCUAUGCCCAAGUCCCUUCAACCCACUCCCUAGGCUAUUAGUAAAUUAUAUAGGAAAUUCCAGAAGUCUAAUAGCAACUAUCCUUUUUCUUGAGGUAGGGGGGUGUAAGGUAGCAACUUUAUUAUUUCAAACUCAUACAUUUAAUUUAUGCAUCCUAAAGUCUCUGAUUCAGCAAUGGGAAAACUAAUACAAGAUAAUAAAAAAAAAUUAACAGUCAGUAAAGUUCUAUGUUCAUGACUGGUUUCAAAACCCACUCACCUGGGUUUUCUUUCUUUACUUUUUUUUAAAAAACAUUUUAUUUAUUCAUUUUAUAUAUGAUGAGUACACUGUCACUGUCUUCAGACACACCAGAAGAGGGCAUCGGAUCCCAUUACAGAUGGUUGUGAGCCACCAUGUGGUUGCUGGGAUUUGAACUCAUGACCUCUAGAAGAGCAGUCAGUGCUCUUAACCUCUGAGCCAUCUCUCCAGCCCUCUUUCUUUACUUUGAAGAUAGUGUUAUUAACUCUACACAUUCAAGUACAAAAUAUAAAGGAAAAAGCAAAAACCUAAAGUCACUGAUUAAUCAGCUUAUGCAAAGUGAUCGUUUGCCUGCUCAAAAUAUUUUAGUGAUCUAAGGCCCUUAGAAAUAUAUUUCCCAAAGACAUGUCAAACUCAUUAGAUGAGCUGCUUUCUUUUGACUAGAGAUUCUUAAAUGCUCACCACAUAUGUAUGAGGACUCAUGACUAGAAUGUUAACAUUUAAGAGGCUGAGGCUGGAGGUCUCUAAGAGAUACAAAUAAGGGGAGUAAUUAUUUUGCACAUUUAUAUAAUCUUCAUUCUCUGGAUUCAAAUAAAUAUUGGUAAGAAUGGUAAAAAUGUUUCCAAAUGAUUACUUAAAUAGCAACUUUAUUGAGGGUAGAGUAACAUUCAGACAUUAAUGAUACCAAAAGUUACAGCUAGGAAAAUAAAACUAGUUUAAGUAUCAGCUUAAGAUUUAAGUUAUCCAGAGAACAGAUAAGUAUUUGACUAAAUUUGAAAAUUAUAAGAAAUGUUGGAGAUUUUUCUCAAGAAUAAGUGAAGAGAAAAUGGCUGUUUAAAACACUAAAAGGUUUUAUUUCUGCUCACUGGAGAAUAUAAAUGACCCUUUUAUUACAGAUUUGUGUAUCCCCAAAAAAUUCCUUUGAAAGCUCAAGUACUGCUGGGAGUGACGGAACAUGCCUUUGAUCCCAGCACUCAGGAAGCAGAAGCAGGUGAUUUCCAGGCCAGACAGGGCAACAUGGUAAGAUCUUGUCUCUAAAAAAAAAUCCCUUGAGUACUAUGAAAAACUCACUUUUUAGUAAGAGGGUGAGAGAAAGUCUAUUAUAAAAACAUCAGAUUGUCUGCCCUCCAACAAAAAUUACCUUAGAUCAGUAGAUAAGAGCACUUGCCCUACAAGCCACAUGACUGUGGUGGAGGGAGAGAAUUGAUCCCUGAAAGCUGCAGUCUCAUCUCCACAGGCCUGCUGGACACACCCCCACAGGAAACAGUAUACAAUAAUAAAUAAAAGAAUUAUGCUAAACUGAGUGUGGCUCAAAUAGAAGCACACUGUGGGUUGAGGCUGGGAUAUCAGUAGUUUCAGGUUAUCUUCGGCUACAGAGUAAGCUCAAGGUUAGCCUGAGACAAGUGAACCCCACCCCCCCAUGAAUAAAAACAAAAGGAAAUUGCUUAGUGUGACAGCAAUGCCUAAAAGCCCAACACCUACAAGGUGGAAACAAAAAGGCCUACAGUUCAAGUUAAAUGUGAAGCUAACAUCUUUGUUAGCUAAAGUUUACAUCUUUGUUUUUUAUUUUUUUGAGUGUGUCCUCCCUAAGUUCGUUCGUGUUCUCUCUCUCUCUCUCUCUCUAAAAAGGACAGUAUACUUUCCUUCUCAACAUAUGAGCUCUCCAACUAAACUCACUUUCUGCCAUGAACCCAUCUUGGUUACCAUUUUCCAGGGGAGAACCUGCUUUGUCUUGUGCCCCCCACCCAUAAACUAAGCAUCUUAUCAGAAAUAUAUAAACACAUACAAAGAACAUUCACAAUUUUUUUUCAAUUGGAAGCAAACCUUCAAAGAACAAAUGGCAUUCUAAGUUAACUUUGUCCCUAAAAACAUAUACAAAACAGUAAAACAGAAAGUGGGACUUUGAAGCACAAAGACUGAAUAAAUGCUCAACACAGAAAUGUUUAGCAUGAGUUAUCACAAAUGAAGAUAAUCUAUUUGGAACUUGUUUACAACAUAUCAUACUAAUUCUUUAGUGUAUCAUUACAAAUACCAAAGCUAGGGAUAGUGGUAGAGCAACUGCCAACAAACAUGAAGAAUUAGCACUCCAUCUCCAGAAUGGAGUAAAGGUGAAUCUAAGGUAAAUUUAGUCAAAUAUAUUGUAUAUUGAUAUGACUAGGAAAGCUAAGAACCAGAAUUGAGAUUUUGGACAUUCACUCUGUGUUAUUGAGAGUCAAUGACCAUGAAGCAUCUUAUCUAAAUGUAAAAGACUUAAAACACGUCCUCAUGUUUGAGAUCUUUCAAAUUAAGGAACAGUACAUAUAGGCAUACAAACCAAGGUUCUCCACCUCUUAAAGUUCCAUUAUAACUGUUUCUAACCAGAAUCAACAACACCAUUAGUAUUAAUGUUUAUUCAUCUUCCUCAAACAUUAGCAUUAUUGCACAUGAAUUCUGUGUUUAAAUACCAGAGCUUUUCAUAUAUGCCUAUGUAAAAAGACAGUGUCUUAAUAAUUAGUUCUGGUAAUACAUGAAGUUAACACCAAGGCUAUUUUUUUUUUAAAAGAUUUAUUUUAUUUAUAUGACUACAUUGUAGCUGUCUUCAGACACACCAGAAGAGGGCAUUGGAUCCCCUAACAAAUGGUUGUGAGCCACUAUGUGGUUGCUGGGAAUUGAACGCAGGACCUUGAGGAAGAAGAGGUCAGUGCUCUUAACCGCUGAGCCAUCUCUUCAGCCCCAUGGCCUGGAUUUAUCAAGUUUGCUUAAGCUAGCAUUGAAAACAUUCUUAUAAUACUGAUUGGACUAAAAUAAUUUUAAAAUCUAUACGUCUGCAUUUUGGAAAAAAAACUUUAAAAACUGCUCAACACUCCUACUCCUAAUUUUCAGUACCUAAACAGUUAAAAUGCAAACGUGUUAUUCAGUGAAUACUAAGAAAAAAUAUUGUACAAAAUGAAUAGAAAAAUUUAAUGGUUAAACAGCAUUUUCUAGAAUACAUGUUAUUCAUUAGCAGAUUUAUGGCCACAGAGGCCAUUAGCUAUCUUGUUUCUCAGGAAAAAAAAAAAAAAAGAAAUUAUUUAAGUUGACUAUGUUUUCUCCCUUCACAAAACUUUGCUUGUUUAAUAUCUAAGUCGGUAAAACAAAUGACAUGCUAAUGUCUGAAAUGUACCAUGAUUUUGCUCUGAUAAUAUAAUUCCAGUCAUUUUUCUCAGCACUGGCCUCAACAGACUGCCACAUUAAGAUCGAGGCUUUUAACAAUCAGUAAAUUAUCUAUGCCAGCAAUAUAAUGCAUUUAUAAUUUUAACACCUCUUUAAAAAAACAAUGGGGGCAUUUCAUCUAUUUUAAUUGACAGAUUAUUUUUUCUUUUUCAGUAAUAUAUAAAACAGUACCUCUUGUAGUAAAUUCUAUCUUAGGAGUCCACAAAAUCAGGCAAUUUCUUUUUCCUUUAGAAUUUUCAGCCCCCAAAUAUUGGCCAGUAUCCCAUUUUAUAGAGGAAACUCAAAAAUUAUGUCCCAAAUGUCAUAAAAACCACGAAGCUAGUGUUCCUAAAAUUUUGUUUUCCAAUGAGCCCCCUUUAAAUACAUGGCUCGCCUAAAGGUAAAUGAGAUUUAAAAAAAAAAAAAAAAACUGUCUGAAUUUAACCAUGAUGAACCUAAUGUGCUAAGGUAUGCGAUAUGACGCAUACAUAAAGCUGUAAGCUUACUGCAUGAACCAAGAGACUGUCUUACUGAUUCAUAAACAGUACAAUGAUAUUCCGUUGUGUCUUUCGGUUCUGCCUGCGAUAGAUGGGACGUAUAAGGAAUCACAGCUAUUUAGUACUGACAGCUAUCUGCAGGCAGAGGAUUCAUCCCGUGACUUACAACGACUCAGUAUACAGCCACUCGCCUUCUUUUCUUUUCCCCAGGGGAAAAAGACCCCAAAGGAGAAUCACCGGUCCACCCGAAACCAUCCUCAAUGGUUACAAAGACUAUGGCAACGCAUCAUCUGCACUAGGAACUUCGCACAUCUUUUCCAGUCUAACAGCUAAACAAUUCACAGGUGGUUGGCAUAUUAACAUCUCUCCGAGCAAGAAAACCAAAGGGAAUGGGAUGGAUGCAGUGACGCUGGCAAACUGGCAGUUAAUUUUAGGGGCUGGGGGGCUGUCGGGGCACCCAGGGCCAAGGUACCGACAAAGACAUGUUAUUAUCUGGCCUCCGGGGGCGUCGCGUAGAGGCCGUUGAGCCUGAGACUCCGCACCCGGUGCGAGGUCCCCUUCGCUCACUCUCUCCAUUCCCGGAGCCAAAGGAAGAUAAGAGCAGAACCACUGGCAACAUGAAUGAAGGAUCUACGGCCCUGUGGAUGACUCCUGGAGAUGUAACUUUAACCUCCAAACAGUCUCACUAUGUAGGUCCAGUUAAUCCGAACCCCUAGUGCUCUUGAUCCUCCUGCCCCCCACCUCCCAGGACUGGCUUUGCAGAUGUGCACCACCAUGAUCAGCUUUAGCUCGGAGGAGUCCCAACCCUCUGUUCUUGCAGCCUUCACCAUGGAACUACCUGCUACCAUAUCUUUGCUGCUUCGAUGGACUGGAUGCCCUGACAUGGCCCCAUCACUGGUCCAAUGCAAAGCCUGCAAAAACCGAGUGUGAGAGGGAUUCACAAGUCAUUCUCCACUUUGCCAUCAAAGAUGUCCUCACAGAGAAAGUCAGAUCCUUUGCACACAGAAAGAGAAUCACAAAUGGCACCGAAAUUCCUAGAAGCAAGGUUCGUCUUGCAUUUGUUGCUUUUGUUUGUUUUGUUUUAAGGUUGAGACCAGAUGGCCUGGCUACAUCAGUAACAAAUGAAGUCAGAGCUGACUGGGAAAAAGAGCUGAGGAAGCCAAGAGGGAAAGGAGGCUGAGCUAAUAACCCCCACCCUACAUCUCUCUGGGGCACGAUUUCUGCAAAUAUAGUCUCCCUCUAGCCUGCACUGAGCCACCUGGAGAAGAGCAUGUAAAAAUAGAGCUUUCUGGACUGCAUCCCAGUGUGAACAUCUGGACUUCCAAUCUUGCUCCGCUUGCAUUUUGAACGGAGUCCUCACAUGUCUUAUGGAUAAACAUGACCUGUGGAAUAAGAGGUAAACCUCCUGGGGUGCAUGAGAGCGGAGAUGUGAUUCUCAGGGUGAUAGAUACUUUUGCAUAGGGCUUCAAACAACACAUCUCAGGGAAGCUACCCUGUGUAAAGCUAAGUGACCAGAAUCCCGACCUGAGGGACUUAGGAGGAGGUGAGAUGCUGGAAGAGAGAGUGUGAACAGCCUGAGGAGCCUUUAGAAGGGUAACUGGCGCCUCUGUGAGGGACUCUGAGUGGUCUCUGCUCUGUGCCACAGAGAAGCUUCCAGAAACCCAGGGAUGCUGGUUGUAUCUGCAAGCACCUGUGGAAACCACCCUUGCUUCAGAAUAUCUUUCAGAUCGCAGGCAAGCAUUUUCCCUAAUUUCCCCUUCUGGUUGUUCCCCACCUACAGCUUCCCUUGAGUCAGAUUUUGUUUUGUUUUUUAAUUUUCUUUUAAAUGCAAAUGCCCUGGUGGGGGGGGGGAUGAAGCUUUUAUUGAGAGUUACAGGACUUUGUUUAUUAUUUCUUUUGGUAAAGUUUUGAUUUCUCUCACUCUAAGAAAUAUUUUCAUAAGUUGAGAGGAAGAGGUCAUUUUUUGGGUUUCUUUUCUUUCCUUCUUUUGUUUUCUGAUAGGGGCUCACUGCUUAUCCUUGGCUGGCUGACCUGAACCUGCUGAGGAGGCCUGGUUAGCUUUGAACUCACCUACUUCUGACUCCCAAGUGCUGGGAUUCCGGGAGAGCACCAGCACAGCUGGCAGGAAGAGUUGCCUGUGGAUCGGAAUGUAGACCUCUCAGCUCCUUCUCCAGCGCCAUGUCUGCCUGCCCGCCACCAUGUUCCCUGCCACGAUGGUAACGGACUAAACUUCUGAAACUGUAAUCAUCCCCAACUAAAUGUUUUUCUUUUUAAGAGUUGCCAGGGUCAUGGUGUCUUUCUGCAGCGACAGAACCAUGACUAAAACACUUCCUGUAAUGCAUCAGGUUUUAAUCAUAUGUAUAUCCAAUUAUGUUUAGCCGUCAGUGAUAGAGGAGGAAUAUCCCUAAGAGUUCACUUUGAAGACAUCCGAUCUGCCUAUUUACAUAUGUACCGAAACUAGUCUGGGCCAGAUUGUCCCAUUUUUGUUACUGGAUUGUUCUCAAGGAGUUAUUAAAGGGGGUGACUAACUCCUACUGUUUAAAGCAGGUGAACUAGGGACGAAUAUGAGGGGGGCUUCUAUCACUAAUACGUUGCUUGUUGCAUUGUUCAAGGAGGGGUGUGUGCAUAGCCCAUGCCAAAUAGAAUCCUAAAUUGCUAAGCCAUUCCCCAUAUGCGCCUGUCUCAGAGACAGGGAAGGCAUUCUGAAAUAAGUUAGCCAGCUUAGAAGUCUUAUAGCUAUCCUAGAGGCUAAUUAGCUGCAGGCUUUGGAGUUAUCUUUUUUAUUGAAUGGGAGUCAUUGGCAUAUGUAACAGAUUGCUCACCUCACAGAAUCUGGCCUUUAAUAAUGAUAAUAAUAAUAAUAAUAAUAAUAAUAAUAGCUUUGGCCCUUAAACAGAAUGAACAAGCAGUCCAACUGGAGGUUGAUUUGUACAGCUCUGUUUCCCAAGAGCAAGGCACUAGAUGCCUGCUUCCCUCAGACCAGCAUCAUUUGUCCCAGCAUCCAGUUUUCAAGAGCCAGCCAGUGUUUUGCCUUCCUUGAAGUCUGGCCAGAGUUUUCCUUGCUCCUUAUCAGGCAAACUGAUACGGGCAGUUCAUAUCAUCAGGAUGAUCAGCUGAGUGGUCACAAGCCUACAACCCUAGCCCUCCAGAUGCAGAAGCAGGGGGAGAAGGAGUUUGAGGCUAUCCUGGGCUACGUAAGACCUUGUAUUAAAAACAACAACAACAACAACAACAACAACAAAAACCAAGUAGUACAGGCUGAGGAUGUGACUAAGUUGGUAGAGUGCUUACCUAGCAGGCACAAAACCCUGGCUUCCAUUCUCAGAACAGCAAACAGCAAGGCAUGGUGCUACAUGCCUAUAAUCCUCUAGAGUUUCUUGCAAGAACGUGUUCAAGGUCAUCUUUGGCUACCUAGUGAAUUCAAGGACAGCCUGAAACAUGUUAGACCUUGUUCAGACCAAAGACACAAGCAAACAGUUGAAAACAACAACAAAGAAUUGUUAUCGAGUCCCAAGAUUCCCCCUCAACCCCAGAUUAGGAUAUCUGUUCCAAGACACUCUGUUAUCUUUGUCAACUGAGUUUCCAGGCCAUUCUUUUGGUUUUGUAGCUGUACAUGAAUCCCCAACUGGGGAUUUCCAGAAAUAACUGAGGGUGGGAAGGAGAAUUUGAAGGUGGGAGCCCAGCUCCUGCAGUCAGCAUGUGAACACCAGAGAUCUGGCAAAGCAAGCAGGAACGGAAAGAUGACCUCAUUUGUAUUCUGGCCAGCGAGCCCAGCUGCAUGCUGGCUAGACAGGUAUCAGAGGCAUCUUCUCCCAGCUCUUGUUCCCCUAAGACACUACUCUGUAAAUCAGGUCUGCAGACCAGCUUCCCGAGUAGGCCAAUCCUCCAAAUUUAGAUCUUGCCUUUGUCAGGUAGAGAGCUAACUCAGAGGCCAAAGCACUAACCAGGGACUAUGAGAAGAAAGCAUUUUCAAAGCAAAUAAAGACCCAAGCAGAGCAGAACACAGUCCCUUGAGCACACCAGUGGGGAUCACUUGGCAAGAGGCAUCUUGCCAGGGAAUUAACACAAAACAAAUCCCUCACAGCCCCUCGAGGGGAGUUUCAGAAAGAGUCAGCCCGGGAGGGUAGUGCAAGAGCUUACAGGAAUUGCCUCACUUGCAUUCGGAUGUGGAGCCUCUGCUGCUGGGAAGGGGCACGCAGGAUCAGAGUGUGAUUACAUCAGGGAGAGACUGUGGAGACAGCUCUCGGUCUUUUCCACGGCGCAGAUGAGGUGCCCAAGGCACAGAAAGAUUAAAGCCUCUGCCAAAGGCAUGCAGUGGAGAACUGGGAGUAGAAAUCUAGGUCACCAGUCUCCCAGUACAGGUGUUUCCAACCCUUGUGCCUUAUAGAUGAGCGAGGCAUGGGGCGUGGCGUACACACGCACUUACUCUGGGUGAUGGAGCACGGUUUCUGGUGCAGAGCUGAAGCAUCAGUCAGCAAACAGCAGGAUGAGAUAAAUGUGGUCCCAGUGCAGGGGAGCAGCAUGUGACAGUGUGACAAGAUGUAUCAGCACAGGAACAAUUAAAAGCAGCGCCAUGGCAACCAGCAUUCACUCUGGGCCUAGAGAGCGUGGGUAUUUGCUGGUGCUGUUCAAGAUGGCCUCUCAUCCUCUGAGAAGCAAUGCAGAUGAGAGGCUCUGAAGUAUACCACACAGAGAACGCAGCCACGCAGCCACGGCAGGGUCCAUCUUCUUCACCAAGGGUUGGCGCUUUCAGUUUAACUCACAAGAGAAAUAAACCCAGCAGCCUUGGGAUUUCCCCUAGAAUUACCAUGUUUGUUGUAAAGAAAGGUUUUGUUUCCCCUUGGAGCAGUGUGCUGCAGUUUCAAAGUCCUCUGAGCACCAAUGUUCCAACAAGGGGCUCAGAAGUGAGCAGAAGGGGAAGAACUCCCUCCCUCCCUCCUCCUUUUCCUUCUCCCUUUUCAUUAUUUGAGACAGGGUCUCAAACCGUAGCCCAAGCUGGCCUGAAACUUACCACGUGGCCCAGGCAAGCCUCAAACUUACAGGAACCUCCCCACCAGCCUCAGCUUUUGUGCUGAACUCACAAAUGUGAGCAGCAUGCCAGCUUCUAACAUUGCAGGCUGUACCGCUGCUCCCUGCCCACACAUCAAUUAGCAACAACAGCAACAAGGCAAACAUAAAUCUUCAACGUGGCAGGAGACCAGGCAAAGGUGCGGCAUGAGCUUCAUCAUUGGACCCCUGUGUUGGGCUGUGGGUCCUGCCCUGAUUUUAACUUUGAUGAUUAUACAUAUACUAUAUCCUGGGCACAGACCACUUGCUGUCUCAAUAUCUGCUCCCCUGGUUAUUUUUUUUUUUCCGUUAGUUUUAUUUUGGCGUCUCGGUACAGCCCAGGCCGUUCUUGAACUCAGGACCCUUCAGCUUCAGUUCUCCCAGCACGGGGUUCACAAGCGUGUACCACCAUGCACAACUUCUCUCCCCAUUUCACUGUGUUGCUUUACAUUUCUAAUGGGCACCUUGCCAUGAAGACUCCCAGCUUCCCCGAGAAGCAGAUGUGGUCCUCUGACCAGGCGGUUCAUACUGCAAGUGGAAGUGCCACUUUCUGGGGUGUGCUUUUGACUCCAGGCUCCCUGCUGCUCCGGGCUGGCUUGCAGUUGGAGUCACGACGUCAUCUUGGGACCCCGGAGAUGAAGACAACUUCACAGGAAUAGCAGACCAAGAGGACAUGCCCCCCCCCACCAAUUUAAAGAAAUUGUUACUUAUUUUAUAACUACUUUAAAAACAAGAAAACUGGAGGCAUCCAAUCUGCCAACUGAAAGAAGCCAAGCCCGAGUAAAAAUCCUUUUAUAGCAUGCCGUGCUGGGGACCAAACCCACUGAGCCAUACCACUAGCUUCUGAACAAACUUCCUGGAGGACAGCUGCUCUGCCAGCUGUUUUUGUUGUUGUUGCCGAGUGGGGGUUCUGUCAGGGAUAGUGGCUCACAUCUGAAGUCCCAGCAUGUGGGAAGCUGAGGCAGGGGGUUGGCUUCAAGUUUGAAGUCAGCCUAGGCUACGCAGUGAGUUUUAAGCCAGUCUGAGUGAGCUACAGCAUAAGAUGCUGUCUUACCUCCCUGCCAAAAGACUGGCGGUAUUGAGUGGAGAAGAAGCUGAUUAAGCUAAUAAAAAUGUAGACUUUAUUAAGACAGUAAUGGUAGCGUACACUAAAUGCAAGAAGCGGGCAUGUGCUUUCAAGAAGUGAGCUGCAUCUUGGAUGGCCCACUUUAUGAACUCAUUUUAACCAAUGGGGAGGAUCAUUCAUGAAUUAACAUAGGAAGAAAUGGGGAAAUGCCAAGAAUGGGGUUUCCCCAGAUUAGAGUUUGCUCCUCCUCUGUGCUCUUACCUGAAUGAGCCUGGGGAGGGGGAGAGGGAAAGGGAGGGGAGGAAACCCAUGAUGAGUGGUGCUGUACCUGGACGGGUGGUUCUGGGUUGUAUCACAAAGCAGGCUAAACAAGUUGUGGGAGUAAGCCAGGAGGCAGUGUUCCUCCAUGACUUCUGCUUCUGUUCCUGCUCUGGGUUUUCUGAAUGAGCAGGCAUCUGGCUUCACUCAGGAUGCAGAGAAGCCAGUGAGACAAAGGACAGUUAACAUCGUCACAGUCAUGUUGGUCCCAGCUGACUUGGAGCUCCUGUGUCUUCACUGUUCGAAUGGUCACAUGCUGUCUUACUGUAAUGCAGUCCCAUGUUGCAUCAGCCUCCAGCCACUGGGUACUUUUCUUAUUUUCUCUGUUUAUCUUAGGGUUUUUACUGCUGAAACAAACCCACCAGGACCAAAAAGCAAGUUGAGGAAAGGGUUUGUUUGGCUUAUACCUCCAGAUCAUAGUCCAUCGCUGGAGGAAGUCAGGACAGGCACUCAGGCAGAGCAGGAACCGGUGGCAGGAGCUGAUGCAGGGGUCAUGGAGGGGCGCUUCACAUGGAUUUCUCAGUCUGUCUUCUUAUAGAACUCAAGACUACCUGUUCAGGGAUGUCAUGGCACCACCCACCUUGGGCUGGGUCCUCCCCUCUUGAUCACUAAUUGAGAAAAUGCCUUACAGUUGGAUCUCAUGGAGGCAUUUUUCUCAACUGAGGCUCCUUGCUCUCUGAAAACACCUACCACCAUCCAGUACAUUAGCCAACCUAUUCCUUCCCCAUCCUCUAGAGAUUUCUGUCUCCUAAUCUCUAGGGGCUAAAGAGAACCACUCUCCAUAAACACUUGCCGCAGACUUGGGCCUCGUGGCCUGGCCUACUGAGGUGAGUUGGAGGUGCUGCAAAGCUCCUAAGUUGGGAAGGAGAGAAACAUUGUAGGAUCAUCAUUUAGUGUGGGGCUGUUGAGGCCUAGAAGACACAAGUUUUGCAAGAAGGUUGAACACACGGGGAUAAAAUAGAAGGGGCAGAACAGCAGUUACCAGAGGUCCAAGGAAAAAAGGAACCAGCUUAGACUGGUAAGGCAGGGUGAUGGUUUGUAUAUGCUUGGCCCAGCGAGUGGCACUGUUAGAAGGUGUGGCCCUGUUGGAGUAGGUGUGUCACUGUGGGUGUGGGCUUUAAGACUCUCCUCCUAGCUGCCUGGAAGUCAGUAUUCUGCUAGUGGCCUUCAGAUGAAGAUGUAGAACUCUCAGCUCCUCCCGUACCAUGCCUGCCUGGAUGCAUAUUCCCACCUUGAUAAUAAUAAACUGAACCUCUGAACCUGUAAGGCAGCCCCGAUUAAAUGUUGUCCUUUAUGAGAGUUGCCUUGGUCACGGUGUCUGCUCAUAGCAGUAAAACCCUGACUAAGACAGGCAGCUUUGAUUAUACAAAUGGUGUUUGGGUCUAGGCAAGUAAAAAAUUCAGAAUUUUUGUCCUAAACUAAGAAUAAUUAUUAUAAAUUAUGGAGGAUGCUAGAAUUAGUUAGCUCUUUUGUUUUCCUGGAAGACAAUUUGCUGGUGAGUAGACUUUAUAUUGGUGUGAUGUUGUCCCAGCUAGGUGUUCAACUUGACAUAGCUAGAUGUCUGGGAAGAGGAGCCUCAGCUGAGAAAAUGCUUCCUUCAGAUGGAAUGUAGGCGAGUCUGUUGAGCAUU